CCUACGGGGGGCAGCAGUGGGGAAUUUUGGACAAUGGGGGAAACCCUGAUCCAGCCAUCCCGCGUGUGCGAUGAAGGCCUUCGGGUUGUAAAGCACUUUUGGCAGGAAAGAAACGUCGCGGGUUAAUACCUCGCGAAACUGACGGUACCUGCAGAAUAAGCACCGGCUAACUACGUGCCAGCAGCCGCGGUAAUACGUAGGGUGCAAGCGUUAAUCGGAAUUACUGGGCGUAAAGCGUGCGCAGGCGGUUCGGAAAGAAAGAUGUGAAAUCCCAGAGCUUAACUUUGGAACUGCAUUUUUAACUACCGGGCUAGAGUGUGUCAGAGGGAGGUGGAAUUCCGCGUGUAGCAGUGAAAUGCGUAGAUAUGCGGAGGAACACCGAUGGCGAAGGCAGCCUCCUGGGAUAACACUGACG
This 415-nucleotide ribosomal RNA is filed under the name Achromobacter xylosoxidans. Its description in RNAcentral is "bacterial SSU rRNA". It matches the Rfam family "Bacterial small subunit ribosomal RNA", at positions 338 to 745 of the family's 1533-position model. Lineage: Bacteria; Pseudomonadati; Pseudomonadota; Betaproteobacteria; Burkholderiales; Alcaligenaceae. The record is from RNAcentral.